RNAcentral lists this long non-coding RNA (505 nucleotides) under Dermacentor andersoni. RNAcentral describes it as "uncharacterized LOC126543147". The record is from RNAcentral. Lineage: Eukaryota; Metazoa; Arthropoda; Arachnida; Ixodida; Ixodidae.
ACAGAAUUGGUAGAACUUUUGCUGCACCUUUGUGAACAUUCGAUUCAUCCUCUGGUUUCUUUUUCCCAAUAGGUCUUCAGGUUACUAAAUGAUGUGCACAGAGAAAGGACAGUACAUUUGGCAAACAGUUCAGUUAACAAGCACUAACCAUGCGUAUCAGAGAUCAUAAAUGUAACAUUGAUUCUUUUUUGUAGACAUACAGGAACACCUUUACCAGCUGCGGGAGGCUUACGACGACUUGGCUUACUACUGCAAGCUGACCAUGAGAAGUGACAAUGACCGCGUUGUCUACAAGGUGUACGACGUAGACUCGCGAUGCGGAAACGCAGCCGCACUGCUAAGCAAUGUCGACCGGAAGAUCCGGCGGAGAAUGACCUUCUCUAGAGACGUCCGUGAGCCGACAAGCACUUGCACGAAGCAGACGAUGUGCGCGGUGUAGUUGGUAACGUGGCUGGUCUUUUGUGCGAUGUCCUUGUCACGAGAAAUAAAGGAUCUCUCCUGGUUG